Molecule: long non-coding RNA, 265 nt
Filed under: Elaeis guineensis (African oil palm)
Lineage: Eukaryota; Viridiplantae; Streptophyta; Magnoliopsida; Arecales; Arecaceae
Description: long non-coding RNA (EGUI_LNC002651)
Source: RNAcentral
UUGAUUUGACGUGAUAUAUUUAUUAUGUUUGGCAUGUCAGCCUGUGGAUUCUCUGUACAACUUCCGUGCAGGGUUUUCUCACGUUGCAUCUCCUUGCCGGAAGCCAGCUUUGUGUAGACUCCAAGAGGUUUAAGUGUUUUACGAAGUGGCAAUUGAUAGCCACUUAAUAAUUGCUCCGAGUCAAGAGAUUUUAUUGACCUACCAAUAAAGCAUGCAUUUUUUUUUUUUUUUUUUUGGACUUAGAUUUAGUGCAUUUAUGGGCUCA